This is a small nucleolar RNA of Chinchilla lanigera (long-tailed chinchilla), 132 nucleotides long. The record is from Ensembl. NCBI's taxonomy places the organism in Eukaryota, Metazoa, Chordata, Mammalia, Rodentia, Chinchillidae.
ACUGCCCCUCGAGGUGUUGCAGGUGUGGCUGCUGUGUCACAUCUGCGUCACUAGGUGGCAGAGAGAAUCAAGGCUAUGUCUACGCUCAGUGUUCGACCCGUGAAUGCCUGAAUGAUUAGUAGCCUGACACAG